CUACGGGGCGCUGCAGUGGGGAAUAUUGCACAAUGGGCGCAAGCCUGAUGCAGCCAUGCCGCGUGUAUGAAGAAGGCCUUCGGGUUGUAAAGUACUUUCAGCGGGGAGGAAGGGAGUAAAGUUAAUACCUUUGCUCAUUGACGUUACCCGCAGAAGAAGCACCGGCGAACUCCGUGCCAGCAGCCGCGGUAAUAGCGGAGGGUGCAAGCGUUAAUCGGAAUUACUGGGCGUAAAGCGCACGCAGGCGGUUUGUUAAGUCAGAUGUGAAAUCCCCGGGCUCAACCUGGGAACUGCAUCUGAUACUGGCAAGCUUGAGUCUCGUAGAGGGGGGUAGAAUUCCAGGUGUAGCGGUGAAAUGCGUAGAGAUCUGGAGGAAUACCGGUGGCGAAGGCGGCCCCCUGGACGAAGACUGACGCUCAGGUGCGAAAGCGUGGGGAGCAAACAGGAUUAGAUACCCGCGUAGUC
Molecule: ribosomal RNA, 465 nt
Filed under: uncultured bacterium
Lineage: Bacteria
Description: partial 16S ribosomal RNA
Rfam family: Bacterial small subunit ribosomal RNA
Source: RNAcentral